Molecule: transfer RNA, 74 nt
Filed under: Candidatus Doudnabacteria bacterium CG10_big_fil_rev_8_21_14_0_10_42_18
Lineage: Bacteria; Candidatus Doudnaibacteriota
Description: tRNA-Gly
Rfam family: tRNA
About the family: Transfer RNA (tRNA) molecules are approximately 80 nucleotides in length. Their secondary structure includes four short double-helical elements and three loops (D, anti-codon, and T loops).
Source: RNAcentral
GCGGCUAUGGUUCAGUGGUAGAACAGCUCGUUGCCAACGAGCAGAUACGGGUUCGAUUCCCGUUAGCCGCUCCA